GAUCCUGGCUCAUGAUGAACGCUAGCUACAGGCCUAACACAUGCAAGUCGAGGGGAAACGGCAGCUUAGCUUGCUAAGCUGGACGUCGACCGGCGCACGGGUGAGUAACGCGUAUCCAACCUGCCCCACGGUGAGGGAUAACCCGCGGAAACGCGGCCUAAUACCUCAUGGUCUCCGAGUUUGCCAUCAACCUUGGAGUAAAGAUUCAUUGCCGUGGGAUGGGGAUGCGUCUGAUUAGCUUGUUGGCGGGGCAACGGCCCACCAAGGCAACGAUCAGUAGGGGUUCUGAGAGGAAAGCCCCCCACAUUGGAACUGAGACACGGUCCAAACUCCUACGGGAGGCAGCAGUGAGGAAUAUUGGUCAAUGGGCGAGAGCCUGAACCAGCCAAGUAGCGUGCAGGAAGACGGCCCUAUGGGUUGUAAACUGCUUUUAUGCGGGGAUAAAGCGGGCGACGUGUCGCCCUUUGCAGGUACCGCAUGAAUAAGGACCGGCUAAUUCCGUGCCAGCAGCCGCGGUAAUACGGAAGGUCCGGGCGUUAUCCGGAUUUAUUGGGUUUAAAGGGAGCGCAGGCCGGGUAUUAAGCGUGUUGUGAAAUGUAGGCGCCCAACGUCUGCACCGCAGCGCGAACUGGUGCCCUUGAGUACGCACGACGUUGGCGGAAUUCGCCGUGUAGCGGUGAAAUGCUUAGAUAUGGCGAAGAACUCCGAUUGCGAAGGCAGCUGACGGGAGCGCUACUGACGCUCAUGCUCGAAAGCGCGGGUAUCGAACAGGAUUAGAUACCCUGGUAGUCCGCGCGGUAAACGAUGGAUGCCCGCUAUUUGCGCAUUAGCGCAAGUGGCCAAGUGAAAACGUUAAGCAUCCCACCUGGGGAGUACGCCGGCAACGGUGCAACUCAAAGGAAUUGACGG
RNAcentral lists this ribosomal RNA (909 nucleotides) under uncultured Bacteroidota bacterium. RNAcentral describes it as "bacterial SSU rRNA". It matches the Rfam family "Bacterial small subunit ribosomal RNA", at positions 15 to 916 of the family's 1533-position model. The record is from RNAcentral. Lineage: Bacteria; Pseudomonadati; Bacteroidota.